ACCGAGGCAGCUUGCUUAGCCUGCCUGCCCUCGGGUUAGGGCAGCAAUGUCGAGAGAUAACCACUUCACCUAAGCCUGCUUCCCACAGAGAUGUGUUACAGUUCCCUUUCCCACAGGCACACACUCCUCCUUAAAGCAAAUACAUGUCAACAUCCUAAUGGUCCCAAGAAUUUAUAAAUUAUAUAUAGGCUGCCUGUAUCAUCUUAUUUCUUCUUUGUCAAGGAAAUCUCAUUAGGAAAGAGACUAAAGGAGCUGAAAAUAUGCAGGGAAUUGAUGUGCUGGCACCCCAGAGAAGGAGAAAAGCUGCACUUCUUUCUUAUGUCACGGAAACACUCCUCUGUGGGCUGAAGGGAUGGAAGCUCAAGUGGAGAGAGCUCACUUGGCACGAAGCAGGCAAACUGUCAUCUGCAGUCUGUUGAAGAAAAGAUUUGCAUUUUAUUCCUCUCUGGAGACAGGUUAUAAGAAAGAAGAAUUAGCAGGUAAAAUGGAGCAAG
Molecule: long non-coding RNA, 494 nt
Organism: Neopelma chrysocephalum (saffron-crested tyrant-manakin)
Lineage: Eukaryota; Metazoa; Chordata; Aves; Passeriformes; Pipridae
Exons: 3
Source: RefSeq, a predicted model, not a curated record